RNAcentral lists this non-coding RNA (30 nucleotides) under Rattus norvegicus (Norway rat). Lineage: Eukaryota; Metazoa; Chordata; Mammalia; Rodentia; Muridae. The record is from RNAcentral.
GUGACUUGUUUUGGCCAAUGGGGUGUGAGU